CUGGAUUUAGAUACAUCUGCCCGUUAGAGCUGCUUUUGAAGAUGCACUGAGCAGUACCUGGUCACUGCGGGAGCCAGUCAAGGAAACAAGAGGGGUGAGACGGUCAUAAGACUAGGUUCACAGUUUUUGGGAUUGGAAGGAGCCUUGCACAUCACCUAGUGAACUUUCUUUUGUAUCAAA
Molecule: long non-coding RNA, 180 nt
Filed under: Dasypus novemcinctus (nine-banded armadillo)
Lineage: Eukaryota; Metazoa; Chordata; Mammalia; Cingulata; Dasypodidae
Description: lncRNA (ENSDNOG00000051272.1)
Source: RNAcentral